RNAcentral lists this small nucleolar RNA (83 nucleotides) under Pythium aphanidermatum DAOM BR444. Lineage: Eukaryota; Oomycota; Peronosporomycetes; Pythiales; Pythiaceae. The record is from RNAcentral.
UUGAAACGAUGACAAGAACGAAAAUCCAACGCUGAAUGUCGACGUGUUGAUCUUCUUCUAUGAGCUUUUUAACCCUGAUCAAU